UAUCUAAAUAGCUUAAGAAAAGAGUACUUCAUUGAAGAUGAAGGGGUAAUGUUUAUUUUUAGAU
RNAcentral lists this transfer RNA (64 nucleotides) under Coleoptera sp. ACP-2013. RNAcentral describes it as "tRNA-Phe". The record is from RNAcentral. Lineage: Eukaryota; Metazoa; Arthropoda; Insecta; Coleoptera.